This 759-nucleotide ribosomal RNA is filed under the name uncultured bacterium. RNAcentral describes it as "bacterial SSU rRNA". It matches the Rfam family "Bacterial small subunit ribosomal RNA", at positions 1 to 808 of the family's 1533-position model. The record is from RNAcentral.
CUUAGAGUUUGAUCCUGGCUCAGGAUGAACGCUGGCGGUAUGCUUAACACAUGCAAGUCGAACGGUGUCUUCGGACAUAGUGGCGGACGGGUGAGUAACGCGUGAGAAUCUAGCUUCAGGUCUGGGACAACCACUGGAAACGGUGGCUAAUACCGGAUGUGCCGGAAGGUGAAAGGCUUGCUGCCUGAAGAUGAGCUCGCGUCCGAUUAGCUAGUAGGUGGGGUAAGAGCCUACCUAGGCGACGAUCGGUAGCUGGUCUGAGAGGAUGACCAGCCACACUGGGACUGAGACACGGCCCAGACUCCUACGGGAGGCAGCAGUGGGGAAUUUUCCGCAAUGGGGGAAAGCCUGACGGAGCAAUACCGCAUGAGGGAGGAAGGCUCUUGGGUUGUAAACCUCUUUUCUCAGGGAAGAACACAAUGACGGUACCUGAGGAAUCAGCAUCGGCUAACUCCGUGCCAGCAGCCGCGGUAAUACGGAGGAUGCAAGCGUUAUCCGGAAUGAUUGGGCGUAAAGCGUCCGCAGGUGGCUGUGUAAGUCUGCUGUCAAAGAGCAAAGCUCGACUUUGUAAAGGCAGUGGAAACUACACGGCUAGAGUGCGUUCGGGGCAGAGGGAAUUCCUGGUGUAGCGGUGAAAUGCGUAGAGAUCAGGAAGAACACCGGUGGCGAAGGCGCUCUGCUAGGCCGCAACUGACACUGAGGGACGAAAGCUAGGGGAGCGAAUGGGAUUAGAUACCCCAGUAGUCCUAGCUGUAAACG